UCCUACGGGAGGCAGCAGUGGGGAAUAUUGCACAAUGGGCGCAAGCCUGAUGCAGCAACGCCGCGUGAGGGACGAAGGCCUUCGGGUUGUAAACCUCUUUUAGUAGGGAAGAAACGACUGGGUUUUCCUGGGAGUGACGGUACCUGCAGAAAAAGCACCGGCUAACUACGUGCCAGCAGCCGCGGUAAUACGUAGGGUGCGAGCGUUGUCCGGAAUUAUUGGGCGUAAAGAGCUCGUAGGCGGUUUGUCGCGUCUGCUGUGAAAACCCGAGGCUCAACCUCGGGCCUGCAGUGGGUACGGGCAGACUAGAGUGCGGUAGGGGAGAUUGAAAUUCCUGGUGUAGCGGUGGAAUGCGCAGAUAUCAGGAGGAACACCAAUGGCGAAGGCAGAUCUCUGGGCCGUAACUGACGCUGAGGAGCGAAAGCAUGGGGAGCGAACAGGAUUAGAUACCCUGGUAGUCCAUGCCGUAAACGUUGGGAACUAGAUGUGGGGACCAUUCCACGGUCUCCGUGUCGCAGCUAACGCAUUAAGUUCCCCGCCCGGGGAGUACGGCCGCAAGGCUAAAACUCAAAGGAAUUGACGGGGGCCCGCACAAGCGGCGGAGCAUGCGGAUUAAUUCGAUGCAUCGCGAAGAACCUUACCAAGGCUUGACAUAUACCGGAAACGGCUGAAACAGUCGCCCCG
Molecule: ribosomal RNA, 684 nt
Filed under: uncultured Cryobacterium sp.
Lineage: Bacteria; Bacillati; Actinomycetota; Actinomycetes; Micrococcales; Microbacteriaceae
Description: bacterial SSU rRNA
Rfam family: Bacterial small subunit ribosomal RNA
Source: RNAcentral